UUCUUAUACUAACCACUAUAAGUAAAAUCUGCUCCAUGUCCAAUAAAUAGCCGCAGAAUAUUAACUGUGCUAAGGUAGCAUAAUCAUUUACCUUUUAAUUGAAGGCCUGUAUGAACGAUUUUACAAUUAAAUUACUUUUUUAUUAACUCACAUUUAAAUUAAAAUAAACAUAAAAAUGUGUUUAUGCCCUAAAAAGACGAUAAGACCCUAUUGAACUUUACUACAGUUAAGCUGGGGAAGCUAGCUAAAUACAAUUUUAGUUUUAAAAUAAAAAAAAAGUUCUGAAAAAUCAAGUUGAACAAGUUACCAUAGGGAUAACAGCGUAAUACUUCUUUAAAGAUCUUAUUAAAAGAAAAGGUUACGACCUCGAUGUUGAAUUAGAAUUACUUUGAAACGCAAUAGUAUCAAAAGUGGGUCUGUUCGACCUUUAAACUUCUACA
RNAcentral lists this ribosomal RNA (440 nucleotides) under Troglohyphantes sbordonii. Its description in RNAcentral is "partial large subunit ribosomal RNA". It matches the Rfam family "Bacterial large subunit ribosomal RNA", at positions 1831 to 2600 of the family's 2925-position model. Lineage: Eukaryota; Metazoa; Arthropoda; Arachnida; Araneae; Linyphiidae. The record is from RNAcentral.